UGGGGCGUCGCCAAGUGGCUAAGGCAGCGGGUUUUGAUCCCGCCAUUCGGAGGUUCGAGUCCUCCCGCCCCAGCCA
Molecule: transfer RNA, 76 nt
Filed under: Pseudomonadales bacterium
Lineage: Bacteria; Pseudomonadati; Pseudomonadota; Gammaproteobacteria; Pseudomonadales
Also listed under: 1 other name
Description: tRNA-Gln
Rfam family: tRNA
About the family: Transfer RNA (tRNA) molecules are approximately 80 nucleotides in length. Their secondary structure includes four short double-helical elements and three loops (D, anti-codon, and T loops). Further hydrogen bonds mediate the characteristic L-shaped molecular structure. tRNAs have two regions of fundamental functional importance: the anti-codon, which is responsible for specific mRNA codon recognition, and the 3' end, to which the tRNAs corresponding amino acid is attached (by aminoacyl-tRNA synthetases). tRNAs cope with the degeneracy of the genetic code in two manners: having more than one tRNA (with a specific anti-codon) for a particular amino acid; and 'wobble' base-pairing, i.e. permitting non-standard base-pairing at the 3rd anti-codon position.
Source: RNAcentral